AUGGGUUCAUGUGCGUCCAAGUCAGCUCUUGAGCAUCGUCGGAUGGAGAGGUACUACACAACAAGGAGGGGCAGAAGAGGGCGCGGCAAUCCCCGGUCAGUGAUGCCAGACGGGCCCAAGCCACGAAUUGUGGAUGCAAGAGGGCGCACCACUGACUUCUCAAUGAGCGAGAUAGUCCACGUCGAGUCAGCGCGCAAGUCAGAUCAUUCCAGUACGUUCCACCUCACCCAGAUGGAGUGGCACCACAGUGAGCGAGAUUCCACUGGUUGCUGCAAAGAAGACGCCUGGUUCGACUCUGUUAGCAUCCUUGAGGACGAUUCUGAUGAGGAGGAAUUCAAGAGCAUAGAUGGAGAUUUUUCCGACGAUGAAGAAGAAGAUGAGGAGAAUAACAAGCGAGAGAAGGCAUCACGUUUUGCUGAUACUCUCUCUCGCAUCGUCGAAUUAUGGCAGGGUGUCCCCGUGACAUUAUCAAUUGAGCAAUAUCUAAAAAGAGACGACGGUGGUGAUGAUCCUGCACGUAGGAGCCAAAGCAUGGCAAUAUGUGCCAGCAAGUGCGUGGAAAGUUCCAAGGAGAAAAAUGAUGUAGAGGACAAGAACAACAAGGAUCCUAGCACCCCGUCUCGCAUACAAAAGCUGCUACAUUCCAUUAGUUUCAAUGAAAAGAUGCAACAACUCACCUGUGUCAGCCCAGCAAAGAGGAAGUCUACAGUUAUACGGCUCUCCUACAAGAGGACAUCAUGCGACGAGGACUCCCAAUGUGGUGGUGACAUCGGAGAAUUGAAGAAAUAUGUCAUCCGUCCCAAGGGAGGGAUGACGAUCCCAUCUGGAGGGGAAAAGCCCACACCCGGAAGAUGGUCACAGAUUGAUCCAUCUGUCUUCAAGCUAAGGAGUGAAACAUUCCUCAGAGAUAAGAAGAAAUGUCCAGCUCCGAACUAUGCCGCCUACUACCCAAUAGGCGUUGACUUGUUUGCGAGCCCCAAGAAGGUUUCACACAUUGCCGAACACAUUGAUCUUCCACAGGUCAAACCACACCACAAGCUCCCAUCACUGUUGAUCAUCAACAUCCAGAUGCCUACCUAUCCUGCUGCUAUGUUCCUCGGGGACAGUGAUGGAGAAGGGUUCAGCCUUUGUUUGUACUUCAGACUCUCCGAGUACUUUGAUAAGGAGGUUUCAGAACAUUUUAAGGAAUCCAUCGUGAGAUUUCUUGAGAAUGAAUGUGAGAAGGUGAAAGGGUUUGCAUCAGAAUCUACAAUGGCAUAUAGAGAUCGGUUGAAAAUCAUGGCUGGAUUGGUUAACCCAGAUGAUCUCCAGUUGAGUUCCACAGAGAAAAAGCUUGUCCAAGCAUACAACGAGAAGCCAGUCCUUUCCCGCCCUCAACAUAGUUUUUAUGAGGGUGAGAACUACUUUGAGGUAGAUCUUGAUAUACACCGGUUUAGCUACAUCGCAAGGAGGGGAUUGGAUUCAUUUAGGGAACGCCUGAAGAGUGGCAUCCUUGAUUUGGGCUUGACAAUUCAGGCCCAGAAGCAAGAGGAACUCCCUGAGCAGGUCCUUUGUUGUGUUAGGUUGAACAAGAUAGACUUCAUCAAUCAUGGGCAAGUUCCAACGAUUGUCACACUUGAUGAUAAGUGA
RNAcentral lists this ribosomal RNA (1629 nucleotides) under Triticum aestivum (bread wheat). RNAcentral's name for it is "partial small subunit ribosomal RNA". Lineage: Eukaryota; Viridiplantae; Streptophyta; Magnoliopsida; Poales; Poaceae. The record is from RNAcentral.